This 253-nucleotide unclassified non-coding RNA is filed under the name uncultured Parcubacteria group bacterium. RNAcentral's name for it is "contains 16S-23S intergenic spacer region". It matches the Rfam family "Bacterial small subunit ribosomal RNA", at positions 524 to 776 of the family's 1533-position model. The record is from RNAcentral.
UACAGAGGCCCCGAGCAUUACCCGGAUUCACUGGGCGUAAAGGGUGCGUAGGCGGUUGUAUUAGUCUUUUGUUAAAGCCCAGGGCUCAACCCUGGAAUCGCAAAGGAAACGGUAUAACUAGAGAAUGUGAGGGGUGUGCGGAACUCAAGGUGUAGGGGUGAAAUCCGUUGAUAUCUUGGGGAACACCAAAAGCGAAGGCAGCACACUGGCGCAUUUCUGACGCUGAGGCACGAAAGCGUGGGUAGCGAACGGG